Molecule: ribosomal RNA, 253 nt
Filed under: uncultured bacterium
Lineage: Bacteria
Description: partial 16S ribosomal RNA
Rfam family: Bacterial small subunit ribosomal RNA
Source: RNAcentral
UACAGAGGGUGCAAGCGUUAUUCGGAAUUACUGGGCGUAAAGAGCGCGUAGGCGGUUUUGUAAGUCUGAUGUGAAAGCCCUGGGCUCAACCCAGGAAGUGCAUCGGAUACUGCUAAACUUGAGUAUAGGAGGGGAGAGUGGAAUUUCUGGUGUAGAGGUGAAAUUCGUAGAUAUCAGAAGGAACAACAGUGGCGAAGGCGACUCUCUGGACUAUUACUGACGCUGAGGCGCGAAAGCGUGGGGAGCAAACAGG